Drosophila simulans is the source of this 94-nucleotide non-coding RNA. The record is from Rfam. NCBI's taxonomy places the organism in Eukaryota, Metazoa, Arthropoda, Insecta, Diptera, Drosophilidae.
CCUUCGAUAGCUCAGUUGGUAGAGCGGUGGACUGUAGAUUGGGAUUACGAAUGUAGACAUCCAUAGGUCGCUGGUUCAAAUCCGGCUCGAAGGA